GGUCCCCACUCUAAACCAAAUCCUCACAGACCCUGCUGUGAGGAGCUGGUAGGAGCCAGGCUAGCGGAGGGCUUAGACAGAUCAGGGACCUGGGAUAACCGAGCAGUGCAGGAGCUAGGGCUGUUGAAAGUGACCUGAGACCCUCCUUUCUUCCCUUCUCAUUCAUUCAAGCCUCCUCUCUUAGCCAAGCCCUGGGCCAGGCACUGGUGAGAGAGAGAUGCAUCGGCCAGGGUACCACCCUCAGGAGCCCAUGAUGGCAGGAGGGGGGGCAGGAGGUGGGUGGAGAAGGGGCUCAGAAUACAGGCAAGUAAACCAACAUCUGCAAAUGAUAACGAGAAGCUCGGGGCACUGCGAGAGAAUCCAGAGAAACGGAAUCCGCUCAGUCUGCGAGAUACAAGGAGGAGGAGGUGGCCUCUGGCUGGACUUUGAAGGAGGACAAAUAAGAGCUUUGCGCUGGUGGACAAGGCGGAGAAGGGCAUAGAGCAGAGGCAUGGAUGUGGAAAGAAAACGCUUCUCCUGGGGAGAAGCGUUUUCUAAAGAUCCCUGCAAAAACUCCCCGGGAAGGAGCCGCCUCUGUUUGCCAGGCUCCGGAGAGACAACCUGAAGCAGAGAACAGAGAAGCUGGAAUAAAAGGCCUUUCAGGUCUUUCUAAGGUUGGCAAUUCUGAGCUGACCCCGAUUAGAAGGAAAGCUCAGUGUCUCAUUUCAGGACUAAAGAAGGAUCUCGAGCCAAAGUUACACGAUUACAAAACCCUCCAUGGAUCCAUAUGCCUUUGCCGGUGUCUUUCCUGGCCUGGGGGCCCUCAUCUUCCCAGAAUUCAGCUCUCAGCAUCCUGUUCUGAAGUUCCCCGGUGAGGGCCUGGGCCCCAUACCUCCUGCCAGAAGACCUGUGAGAGAGCUGUGGGUGGGGAAGGACCUGGAAGGGCCGUGGGUGGGUGGCCAGGGGCUGAGCCUCCAGGAUCAGAACAGCCCAGCCAGCACCCUGGCCGCCAGACUCCCAGCUCGCACCCAAGUGGUACAAGAGGUCCUUUCACAUGGACCCCCCAGUUACCCAUUUCUCCCCUGUCCCCUUAAAACACAGGUACAGCAAUCCCCUUAGUCACAGUUGUCCUCCUCUGCCAAGACUAGGAGACUUUGGCUUCUCUCUCUGCCCUCAGGGACGGUAGGUGGGUAAACUUAACAUCAUCCCCGUUCCAAGAUGAGUCAGAAUGGAGACUAGGAGGUUUUGGGGGGGGGCAACUCCAGGAGGCUAGGUCCCCAGAGAACGUCUGAGCUAGGGCUGAGGGACCACAGAGGAAGCCACCUCUUGCUUGUCUGGGUUCUAAGUGGCACAAUUCCUUUUGAUUCUUGGGUCCCAGUCCAUGGAGGACAGAGGACUUGCUGACGGAUUAGACGUGGGGGUGACCAGCAGUGAGGGGCCAGGGCCGACUCCGGAUGCUGGUUUGGCUGACGUGUUCGUGGUGGAAAGGCAGAAGAGAAAGCCAGGGGAGAGGGCUACAUAAUGAGCUAGCAGGAAAUGUCCAUCAUCUCCUUUAAAAUUUCACCUUCUGCAUAAUAGGAAAAAAAAUCGUGAAUGACUGACAGAGAGCAAAGCUUGCUGAUGCUCACUUUGUGCUUGGCACUGAGGACGGGGAGACAAAUUAGCCUGUCCCCGCCCUGGAGGAGCACCUUGUCUGUGGAAGCGGGCAGCAUGUUUCAAGACACUUCUCGGAACAACUUUUGGAGAUGUAUCUUGAAAGAAGUUGCUGUGGCCGAUGUCAAAGAGGUUACUGCCUAUGUUCUCUUCUAGAAACAGUCAACAAAACAAAGAGGCAACCCACAGAAUGGGAGAAGAUAUUUGCAAAUGACACUACAGAUAAAGGGCUGGUAUCCAAAAUCUAUAAAGAACUUCUCAAACUCAACACCCAAAAAACAAAUAAUCAAGUCAAAAAGUGGGCAGAAGAUAUGAAAAGACACUUCUCCAAAGAAGACAUACAAUGGCUAACAGACACAUGAAAAAAUGUUCAUCAUCAUUAGCCAUCAGGGAAAUUCAAGUCAAAACCACAUUGAGAUACCACCUUACACCAGUUAGAAUGGCAAAAAUGGACAGGGAAAGAAGCAACAAAUGUUGGAGAGGUUGUGGAGAAAGGGGAACCCUCUUACACUGUUGGUGGGAAUGCGAGUUGGUACAGCCACUUUGGAAAACAGUGUGGAGGUUCCUCAGAAAUUUAAAAAUAGAGCUACCCUAUGACCCAGCAAUUGCACUACUGGGUAUUUACCCCAAAGACACAGAUGUACUGAAAAGAAGGGCCAUAUGCACCCCAAUGUUCAUAGCAGCAAUGUCCGCAAUAGCCAAACUGUGGAAAGAGCUGAGAUGCCCUUCAACAGACGAAUGGAUGAAGAAGAUGUGGUCCAUAUAUACAAUGGAAUAUUACUCAGUCAUCAGAAAGGAUGAAUACACAACUUUUUCAUCAACAUGGAUGGAACUGGAGGAGAUUAUGCUAAGUGAAAUAAGUCAAUUAUCAUAUGGUUUCACUUAUUUGUGGAACAUAAGGAAUAGCAUGGAGGACAUUAGGAGAAG
Molecule: long non-coding RNA, 2559 nt
Organism: Mirounga angustirostris (Northern elephant seal)
Lineage: Eukaryota; Metazoa; Chordata; Mammalia; Carnivora; Phocidae
Exons: 3
Source: RefSeq, a predicted model, not a curated record